AUCAGGAGAAGCGGGUCGAGAAGGCAAGGUCAUCUCGUUAACGUCCCUUGCAAACCACAGGUGCCGAUUCCAAGCGCACCGACUUCGCCCUCGCCGCCUGAGCGAGCGCAAGUCCGUCAGCCUAGGAGUGCUUCCGACCUAGUCCCUGGCGUCAUCUAGGAGGCUCUGCUGCACCACCGCGCCGGGCGGUGGUGCGGGACUCCUGCCCGGCUGGGCCUGUCAGGGAACGUGUGCGCGCGAGCCCUGGGGCCGAGAAAAUCCAUAGUGCACUGCACCCGGAGAAGUCCUGGUCUCCCUGCGGCGGACGCGGGUUCGAUUCCCGCCACCUCCACCA
Molecule: transfer-messenger RNA, 334 nt
Filed under: Gemmatimonadota bacterium
Lineage: Bacteria; Pseudomonadati; Gemmatimonadota
Description: partial transfer-messenger RNA
Rfam family: transfer-messenger RNA
About the family: Bacterial tmRNA, also known as 10Sa RNA or SsrA, is named for its dual tRNA and mRNA-like properties. Its role is to liberate the mRNA from a stalled ribosome.
Source: RNAcentral